Molecule: ribosomal RNA, 253 nt
Filed under: uncultured bacterium
Lineage: Bacteria
Description: partial 16S ribosomal RNA
Rfam family: Bacterial small subunit ribosomal RNA
Source: RNAcentral
UACGUAGGCAGCGAGCGUUGUUCGGAGUUACUGGGCGUAAAGGGUGCGUAGGCGGCGCGGUAAGUCGGGUGUGAAAUCUCGGAGCUUAACUCCGAAACUGCAUUCGAUACUGCCGUGCUUGAGGACUGGAGAGGAGACUGGAAUUUACGGUGUAGCGGUGAAAUGCGUAGAUAUCGUAAGGAAGACCAGUGGCGAAGGCGGGUCUCUGGACAGUUCCUGACGCUGAGGCACGAAGGUCAGGGGAGCAAACGGG